RNAcentral lists this ribosomal RNA (322 nucleotides) under uncultured eukaryote. RNAcentral describes it as "partial 18S ribosomal RNA". It matches the Rfam family "Eukaryotic small subunit ribosomal RNA", at positions 1470 to 1796 of the family's 1831-position model. The record is from RNAcentral.
CCCUUAGAUGUUCUGGGCCGCACGCGUGCUACACUGAGUGGAUCAGCGGGUCAGGUUGCGCGAAAGUGUUUCCUAAUCUUGAAAUCCGCUCGUGAUGGGGAUUGACGGUUGCAAUUUUCCGUCAUGAACGAGGAAUACCUUGUAAGCGCGGGUCAUCAUCCCGCGCUGAAUACGUCCCUGCCCUUUGUACACACCGCCCGUCGCUCCUACCGAUUGACUGGUCCGGUGAGGCUUUGGGAUCUGAGCGGAAAGAGCGUUUCGCUGUUUCUGCUCGGAAAACUCAGUCGAACCUUAUCAUUUAGAGGAAGGAGAAGUCGUAACA